GGAGAAGGAACCAUGUAGUUCAAGUGGUAGAGCACCUGCUUUCCAUGCAGAAAGUCUUGGAUUCAGUCCCCAGCAUCUCCA
Non-coding RNA from Podarcis lilfordi (Lilford's wall lizard), 81 nucleotides. The record is from the annotation of a GenBank genome assembly. Lineage: Eukaryota; Metazoa; Chordata; Lepidosauria; Squamata; Lacertidae.